This 614-nucleotide ribosomal RNA is filed under the name uncultured archaeon. RNAcentral's name for it is "bacterial SSU rRNA". It matches the Rfam family "Archaeal small subunit ribosomal RNA", at positions 532 to 1145 of the family's 1478-position model. The record is from RNAcentral.
CGCAGUCAUCGGGGAAUCCGCGCGCUUAACGCGCGGGCGUCCGGUGGAAACUGCGUGGCUUGGGACCGGAAGACCAGAGGGGUACGUCCGGGGUAGGAGUGAAAUCCCGUAAUCCUGGACGGACCACCGGUGGCGAAAGCGCCUCUGGAAGACGGAUCCGACGGUGAGGGACGAAAGCUCGGGUCACGAACCGGAUUAGAUACCCGGGUAGUCCGAGCUGUAAACGAUGUCUGCUAGGUGUGGCACAGGCUACGAGCCUGUGCUGUGCCGUAGGGAAGCCGUGAAGCAGACCGCCUGGGAAGUACGUCCGCAAGGAUGAAACUUAAAGGAAUUGGCGGGGGAGCACUACAACCGGAGGAGCCUGCGGUUUAAUUGGACUCAACGCCGGACAUCUCACCAGCAUCGACAAUGUGCAGUGAACGUCAGGUUGAUGACCUUACUGGAGCCAUUGAGAGGAGGUGCAUGGCCGCCGUCAGCUCGUACCGUGAGGCGUCCUGUUAAGUCAGGCAACGAGCGAGACCCGCAUCCUUACUUGCCAGCAGCACUGCGAAGUGGCUGGGGACAGUAGGGAGACCGCCGUGGCCAACACGGAGGAAGGAACGGGCAACGGUAGG